This 7201-nucleotide long non-coding RNA is filed under the name Xyrichtys novacula (pearly razorfish). Lineage: Eukaryota; Metazoa; Chordata; Actinopteri; Labriformes; Labridae. The record is from RNAcentral.
GAAAACUCAUGAAAUUUGGCAGGACGACCGGGCCUGGUGAAAAAUUCGAUAUUCUGAAGUCGCCCAAACAAUAAAAUGCAAAAUGGCUCCAUAGCGCCCCCUAAGGUGGAAAUUCACACUAUUGACUGUCACGCCUGUACGCUUUGUCAUAUUGACACAAAAAUUGACACACAUAUGUAUCUCAAUAAGAUCUACAAAAAAGUCAGUGCAGCCGUAUCUGUCAAAUGUACGGUUAAAGGGUUAUUUCGCAUUUUUUUCCGAUCCGCACACAUUAGAAUUUCGCUAACUCCUCCGAAGGCUUUCGUUCCACCGGCACCACAUUUGCUCAGGCCAAUCUACACCCCGUGGCCAUUAAAAGUUAUCAAAAUCAUGACGCUGCACCCCAAGGUUUAGGUUCUAGGGGGCGCCAAAGAUUACACUAAAAUCCACAUAUUUAAAAGUCUUAUAACUUUUUAUUUUUGUCCUCACUGGCCUCCAAGUUUUCUAGGAUGAUGCAAUGUCCAGCCAUCAACACAUUUGUGAAGGAAUUUUUACUCCCCAAAAGAGCGCCCCCCCAUGGCAGGAGAAAAAAGUCCAUUUUUUCUUGUCCCCUAAGGUGGAAAUUCACACUAUUGACUGUCACGCCUGUACGCUUUAUCAUAUUGACACAAAAAUUGACACACAUAUGUAUCUCAAUAAGAUCUACAAAAAAGUCAAUGCGCGCGUAUCUGUCAAAUAUACGGUUAAAGGGCUAUUUUGCAUUUUUUGCCGAUUCGCACACAUUGGAAUGUGGCUAACUCCUCCUAAGGCUUUCGUCCCACUGACACCAAAUUUGCUCAGGCCAAUCUACACCCCAUGGCCAUUCAAAGUUGUAAAAAUCAUGACGCUGCACCCCACGGUUUACGUUCUAGGGGGCGCCAAAGAUGACCCAAAAAUCCACAUUCUUAAAGGAAUCCACAUCCCCCCCCAAGGCAGGAGAAAAAGUCAAGUUAACCCUGCCCAUCGCUCAAUGGCUCAAUCGCAUCGCUCUCCAGGCAACACCGUAAGGAGGAGCAACCUGCCAUUUCGAUAUAUCAUAGCUGUGUUUGUGCCCUCACUCAUGGUCCAGACUUUUUUCAAAUAGGACAUGAAGUUUGUCUGCAGCGAGUGUUUUGGUAGAAACUGCGCCUCCCAUUCAUUAUAAUGGGAAAUGACCACAGACAAGUGCGCACACCAUCUUUGGACCUUGAGUGUGACGCGAUCGGGAGGGGGAGGCGGUCGCGCUAGGGGCGGCGCGACGCGGCUCGGGCCCGACAGUGCCCCACCGGGGCCCUAGUUUAUUAUUAUUAUUAGGGCCCGAGCCAGCUGCGGAGCAGCCGGGCGUAGGCCCUAUUAUUCCCCAAGUGGUUUUUCUUUGUUUCUUUCUUUCUUUCUUUAGGGCCCGAGCGUAGCUGCUAAGCAGCUGCGAGAGCCCUAUUAUUCCCCAAGAGGUUUUUCUUUGUUUCUUUCUUUAGGGCCCGAGCGUAGCUGCUAAGCAGCUGCGAGAGCCCUCUUGUUCCUGCAUGUUUCCUUCUUUCGUUAUUAUUUUUCCUCCGCUUUAAACUGGAAAAUGGCCCACUUCCCACUGGCGAAAACUCAGGAAAUUUGGCAGGACGACCGGGCCUGGUGAAAAAUUCGAUAUUCUGAAGUCGCCCAAACAAUAAAAUGCAAAAUGGCUCCAUAGCGCCCCCUAAGGUGAAAAUUCACAUGACGGCUGUACGCUUUGUCAUAUUGACACAAAAAUUGACACACACAUGUAUCUCAAUAAGAUCUACAAAAAAGUCAGUGCGGGCGUAUCUGUCAAAUGUACGGUUAAUGGGUUAUUUUGCAUUUUUUGCAGAUCUGCACACAUUGGAAUUUCGCUAACUCCUCUGAAGGCUUUCAUUCGACCGGCACCACAUUUGCGCAGGCCAAUCUACCCCCCAUGGCCAUUAAAAGUUGUACAAAUCAUGACGCUGCACCCCACGGUUUACGUUCUAGGGGGCGCCAAAGAUAACCCAAAAUCCACAUUCUUAAAAGUCUUAUAACUUUUUAUUUUUGUCCUCACUGCCCUCCAAGUUUUCUAGGAUGAUGCAAUGUCCAGCCAUCAACACAUUUGUGAAGGAAUUUUUACUCCCCAAAAGAGCGCCCCCCCAUGGCAGGAGAAAAAAAGUCAAUUUUUUCUUGUCCCCUUACAUGAAAAUACACAUUGUUGAGUGUCAUGCCUGAACGCUUUGUCAUAUUGACACAAAAAUUGACAAUCACGUGUAUCUCAAUUAGAUCUACGAAAAAGUCAAAAAGCGCGUAUCUGUAUAAUGUACGGUUAAAGGGCUAUUUCGCAUUUUUUGCCGAUUCGCACACAUUGGAAUGUGGCUAUCUCCUCCUAAGGCUUUCGUCCCACCGAUACCAAAUUUGCUCAGGGCAAUCUACACCCCAUGCCCAUUCAAAGUUGUAAAAAUCAUGACGCUGCACCCCACGGUUUACGUUCUAGGGGGCACCAAAGAUGACCCAAAAAUCCACAUUCUUAAAAGUCAUUUUGGCCACUGCAGGAGUACAGAGUACUGCAGUUCUAGGGGGCGCCAAAGAUGACCCAAAAAUCCACAUUCUUAAAAGUCUUUUUGGCCACUGCAGGAGUACAGAGUACUGCAGGAUACACACACAUAUACACACACACACACACACACACACACACACACACACACACACACACACUCAGAGUCUGUUUUUUAGCACCUGCAAAAACAUGCUGUUUACAUAUUUGACAAGAAUGCAGAGGCUUCCUUUUGCCCCUGAAAAAAAUCAGAUUUCAAACACAACUUGACUGUUCAUUUCUCCAAAAGACAACCAUGAAGCUCCAUCCAAACCUGAAGCAGAUAGUUGGUGCAUGUGUACAGUAACCUGAGGGGAGUGAGGUGACUAUUUCUGAGGAGAACAUGAGCAGUGAAGAUUCACCUUGGAGCUAGAACAGGGACGUGCACAUGAUUAUACAGGGGCAGGGGCUCAAGUUUUUUCCAGUCAUUUAUACAAUAUGGAAAUUAAUGUGAAAUUAAAACACAAAUAUGUGUGAUGAACUGUUUUUAAAACUUAAACUUCAAAUAAAAAUUGUAAACUUCAAAACAUAUGCAAAUUUUUAACAAAGAACAUAGUAAUUUACUUCUAUUUACAUCAAAAUGCAGGCAAUGGCCCAGGCGUUCUUUGUAAAAUUAUUUACAAAACACUGUAUAGUCUCACAAAUGUCACUUUUUAUUUAUGCCACUACAAAAAAACAUGAUGUAAAUGAUGCAUGAUGUAAAACAUGAUGUAAAAAACUUGUGUAGAUCCUCCUCUAUGUCAGUCCAUGUGUAAUUUUUCCAUAAUUCUUUGUUUUUUGCAGCAUUUUUGUUAGUGUAGCUGCAGAUUGUGCUGACAGUGUCUAUGGCACAAAAAAAAAAAAAAUUAAAAUGCCUCAACAUGAACCCCUGGUGGUCUCUGAGGGUGAAACCUGCUAACUGCUGCAGCUCUGUCAGCUUCAGUCUCCCAUGCAGAGCUCGGAGCGCAUGUGUGGCUCUGCACCCUUAGCAGCGUUGCUAACUCCUCAGUAAGGAAAGCCUGCUUCAUGUCAGAGUCUCUAAACUCCAGAAGAAGUCGAUAAAAGUCCCUUUCUUUCUAAAAAAAAGUCGUUAGGGGGUCUGAAAAGUAAUUGAAUCUAACAACAAAGUCGCUAGGUUUGCAACUACGUGUCCCAGACUGCAUCCCUGCUGAGAGUCCCUCCCUCCCUUCUCAUGUUGCAGGAAAAACGUAAGCGCCCGCCCCUUGUCAAUCAGUCACCAUAUAAUUUUGGAUUGGUUGUUGUGGUGAAGUUUUCCACCAAUAGGAGAAAUGUUGUGGUGUGUUUUUUUUUUCUUUUGGCAAGCCUUUUCCGCCUGUAAGACCUGUCGCUAAUGUCUGCAUGCUAUGUUUUCCUGUCUCAUACAGCGCGAUCGAGCGCCGAACGUGAUCAAAAUAAGCAGAAAAAAAGUAUCGCGGACAUAAUUUAUCAUAACUCUGGUUUUAUUUGGCCUAUCAACACAAUUUAAAAACUGGUAUAUAGGUUGAGGUCCUCACUUUUGAGAUAAGUUGAAACGGAGAGUCAACGAGGCUCCGUCUUGCAGCUACAUCCGGUUAAAUAUGUCAUGUGACUUGAACGCACACACAGACACACACACACACUCAGAGUCUGGUUUUUAGCACCUGCAAAAACAUGCUAUUUACAUAUUUGACAAGAAUGCAGAGGCUCCUUUUGCCCCUGAAAAAAAUCAAAUUUCAAACACAACUUGACUGGUCAUUUCUCCAAAAGACAACCAUGAAGCUCCAUCCAAACCUGAAGCAGGCAGUUGGUGCAUGUGUACAGUAACCUGAGGGGAGUGAGGUGAGUGCUUCUGAGGAGAACAUGAGCAGUGAAGAUUCACCUUGGAGCUAGAACAGAGACAUGCACAUGAUUAUACAGGGGCAGGGGCUCAAGUUUUUUCCAGUCGUUUAUACAAUAUGGAAAUUAAUGUGAAAUUAAAACACAAAGUAUUAAUAGAAAGGUAAUGACUGUCCUGUGUAGGUGACAGUGAUAUCCAAUAGGCUAGGCACUCACGAGGCUGGCUGUGGCAAGUGUAAGUGAAAGCAACACGCACUGGCAGGAAGAACAGCAAACGCCGAUGAAGGAAAAGGGUCUUUGCAGUGAUGGGCGUUACCAGAGAGGGCGAUGGCCAGAGGACACAAAUGGGACGGGAAGGCAGCACGUUGGGGGGGGGGGGAUGCGACACGGCUCGGGCCCGCCAGUGCCCCAACGGGGCCCUAGUUAGGGCCCGAGCGUAGCUGCUAAGCAGCUGCGAGAGCCCUAUUAUUCCCCAAGUGGUUUUUCUUUGUUUCUUUUUUCUUUUUCCUCCCCUUUGAACUGGAAAAUGGCCCACUUCCCACUGGCGAAAACUCAUGAAAUUUGGCAGGACGACCGGGCCUGGUGAAAAAUUUGAUAUUCCGAAGUCGCCCAAACAAGAAAAUGCAAAAUGGCUCCAUAGCGCCCCCUAAGGUGAAAAUACACAUUGUUGAGUGUCACGCCUGUACGCUUUGUCAAAAUGACACAAAAAUUGACACACACAUGUAUCUCAAUAAGAUCUACAAAAAAGUCCAUGCGCACGUAUCUGUCAAAUGUACGGUUAAAGGGUUAUUCCGCAUUUUUUGCCGAUUCGCACACAUUGGAAUUUCGCUAACUCCUCCGAAGGCUUUCGUUCCACCGGCACCACAUUUGCUCAGGCCAAUCUACACCCCAUGGCCAUUAAAAGUUAUUCAAAUCAUGACGCUGCACCCCACGGUUUAGGUUCUAGGGGGCGCCAAAGAUAACCCAAAAAUCCACAGUCUUAAAAGUCUUAUAACUUUUUAUUUUUGUCCUCACUGGCCUCCAAGUUCUCUAGGAUGAUGCAAUGUCCAGCCAUCAACACAUUUGUGAAGGAAUUUUUACUCACCAAAAGAGCGCCCCCCAUGGCAGGAGAAAAAAGUCAAUUUUUUCUUGUCCCCCAAGGCAAAAAUACACAUUGUUGAAUGUCACGCCUGUACGCUUUGUCAUAUUGACACAAAAUUUGACAAUCACGUGUAUCUCAAUAAGAUCUACGAAAAAGUCAAUGCGCGUGUAUCUGUAAAAUGUACGGUUAAAGGGCUAUUUCGCAUUUUUUGCCGAUUCGCACACAUUGGAAUUUCGCUAACUCCUCCUAAGGCUUUCGUCCCACUGACACCAAAUUUGCUCAGGCCAAUCUACACCCCAUGGCCAUUCAAAUUUGUACAAAUCAUGAAGCUGCACCCCACGGUUAAGGUUCUAGGGGGCGCCAAAGAUGACCCGAAUAUCCCCAUUUUUAAAAGUCUUAAAACUUUUUAUUUUUGUCCUCACUGGCCUCCAAGUUUUCUAGGAUGAUGCAAUGUCCAGCCAUCAACACAUUUGUGAAGGAAUUUUUACUCCCCAAAAGAGCGUCCCCCCAUGGCAGGACAAAAAAGUCAAUUUUUUUCUUGUCUCCUAAGGUGAAAAUACACAUUGUUGAGAUUCACGCCUCUACGCUUUGUCAUAUUGACACAAAAAUUGACACACACGUGUAUCUCAAUAAGAUCUACGAAAAAGUCAAUGGGCACGUAUCUGUAAAAUGUACGGUUAAAGGGCUAUUUUGCAUUUUUUGGCGAUUCGCACACAUUGGAAUGUGGCUAACUCCUCCUAGAGCUUUCGUUUAACCGACACCAAAUUUGCUCAGGCCAAUCUACACCCCAUCACUUUUUAUUUUUGUCCUCACUGGCCUCCAAGUUUUCUAGGAUGAUGCAAUGUCCAGCCAUCAACACAUUUGUGAAGGAAUUUUUACUCCUUAAAAGAGCGCCCCCCCAUGGCAGGAGAAAAAAAUCCAUUUUUUCUUGUCCCAUAAGGUGAAAAUACACAUUGUUCAGUGUCACGCCUGUACGCUUUGUCUUAUUGACACAAAAUUUUACAAUCACGUGUAUCUCAAUAAGAUCUACGAAGAAGUCAAUGCGCACGUAUCUGUAAAAUGUACGGUUAAAGGGCUAUUUUGCAUUUUGUGCCGAUUCGCACACAUUGGAAUGCGGCUAACUCCUCCUAAAGCUUUCGUCCCACCGACACCAAAUUUGCUCAGGCCAAUCUACACCCCAUGGCCAUUCAAAGUUGUACAAAUCAUGACGCUGCACCCCACGGUUUAGGUUCUAGGGGGCGCCAAAGAGGACCCAAAUAUCCACAUUUUUAAAAGUCUUAUAACUUUUUAUUUUUGUCCUCACUGGCCUCCAAGUUUUCUAGGAUGAUGCAAUGUCCAGCCAUCAACACAUUUGUGAAGGAAUUUUUACUCCCCAAAAGAGCGCCCCCCCAUGGCAGGAGAAAAAGUCAAGUUUUUCCUGCCCAUCGCUCAAUGGCUCAAACGCAUCGCUCUCUCGGCAAAACCGAAAGGAAGAGCAACUUGCCAUUUGGAUAUAUACUAGCUGUGUUUGUGCCCUCACUCAUGGUCCAGACUUUUUUCAAAAAGGACAUGGAGUUUGUCUGCAGCGAGCGUUUUGGUAGAAACUGUGCCUCCCAUUCAUUAUAAUGGUAAAUGACCACAGACAAGUGCGCACACCAUCUUUGGACCUUGAGUGUGACGCAAUCGGGAGGGGUAGGCUGUCGCGCUGGGGGCGGCGCGACACGGCUCGGGCCCGCCAGUGCCCCACCGGGGCCCUAGUUCUUUCUUUCUUUCUUCUUUUU